RNAcentral lists this ribosomal RNA (520 nucleotides) under uncultured Glomus. RNAcentral describes it as "SSU rRNA". It matches the Rfam family "Eukaryotic small subunit ribosomal RNA", at positions 569 to 1092 of the family's 1831-position model. Lineage: Eukaryota; Fungi; Glomeromycota; Glomeromycetes; Glomerales; Glomeraceae. The record is from RNAcentral.
AGCAGCCGCGGUAAUUCCAGCUCCAAUAGCGUAUAUUAAAGUUGCUGCAGUUAAAAAGCUCGUAGUUGAAUUUCGGGAUCGAUAUAUCGGUCGUGCCUCGGUACGUACUGGUAUUUUCGGUUUCUACCUUCUGACGAACCUUGAUGUCAUUAAUUUGGUGUCUUGGGGAAUCAGGACUGUUACUUUGAAAAAAUUAGAGUGUUUAAAGCAGGCUCACGCUUGAAUACAUUAGCAUGGAAUAAUGAAAUAGGACGUUUGAUUCUAUUUUGUUGGUUUCUAGGAUCGACGUAAUGAUUAAUAGGGGUAGUUGGGGGCAUUAGUAUUCAAUUGUCAGAGGUGAAAUUCUUGGAUUUAUUGAAGACUAACUACUGCGAAAGCAUUUGCCAAGGAUGUUUUCAUUAAUCAAGAACGAAAGUUAGGGGAUCGAAGACGAUCAGAUACCGUCGUAGUCUUAACCAUAAACCAUGCCGACUAGGGAUCGGAUGAUGUUAAUUUUUAAUGACUCAUUCGGCGCCUUACG